AAGCACACAAUUCUAUUUAAAAACAUUUUGAUAAAUGAAUAUUCGCUUCUGAAUCAUUUGUGAUAAGUUUCGUAUAACUUUCAGGAUAACUUCAAUGGUUUGAACAGACCUCCAAGGAAGCAGCAACUGACCAAUCAGAAGACAUUUUUUCAGCAGUCAAUAAGACAUUCAGAUUUAUUUAUAAAUCAUUUGUUUAUUAAGUAACUAGUGGCGUGUGUGUGUGUGCACUCACCAGAGGGCAUAUGUGUGUGUGUGUGUGUGUGUGUGUGUACACCAGAGGGCAUGUAUGUGUGUGCAUAUGUAUGUGUGUGUGUAUUGUUGUUCUAUGGUCAUGUACUUUAUUAUACAUUUGACAUGACUCAAUAUUUCAAUAAUUCAAAAAUAGUUUUUAAAUCACAAAAUAUAUUUUAAGUAAUCAUUUUAACAACUACUGUACACUAUGUGACAACAGAUAUAAGUCUCAUAAUGUCUAAUAGUAGGUAAACAUUCAAACUUCCAUACAGUGAGGUCAUCCUAAACCUCAGCACUAUAACUACAGAAGAUGUGUGGAGCUGGAAGAAAAGCAAAACUGUUUCUUACUGGCCACCAUAUUUGUCUACACUGUCAAACAUUUUAGUCUACAACCAUGAAUAACUUAAACAGCAACAGAAAAACUGAGCUAGACAAAGCAUUACUGAAUUGUAUCUUGACAAUAUUACACUAUUUUCCAAAAGUAGCUAACUUUCCAAGUAUAUUUUUAGAAAACUUGGUAAGACUAACACAUUUUUAAGGGAA
This is a long non-coding RNA of Biomphalaria glabrata, 774 nucleotides long. RefSeq lists it as uncharacterized. NCBI's taxonomy places the organism in Eukaryota, Metazoa, Mollusca, Gastropoda, Planorbidae. The transcript is spliced from 2 exons. The record is from RefSeq and is a predicted model, not a curated record.